CAGACUCUUCACAACCUGCUCAAACUCUUGGUACAGGACCUCACCACACGGGUCAAGAAGGUUGCUUUGUAGAACUGUCGCAGAAAACCUCACUAAACCACAUGGAGGGGCCUCAAGAUAGUCGUCCAAAUGAAAUCGUACAAAAACCAAACUAGCACAACCCAAACACUAAACUCUCCUGCAGCCUACCAGAGAACCUCUGAGAACAGAGAAUCAGGACAGGAACUCUUACCUUCUGGACAACCAACAUUGGUUCUCAAACAAGAAUACAGAAUGUGUCUGACCAAAAACCUCUAAAGACUCACUACAGCCAAGAUAAAGACACAACUCAGCUGCACCAAAUCCACUAAUCACUGCACACAUUAGGACCAUGUGCUAACUGUGGCUAAAGAACCACAUUUACCAAGACAACUAUCCAGUACAAAGCCAUAAAACACACCAAGAAACACAUUAAAGACGAUUUUACUGCUGGAAGCUGCAAGCCAACGCCUAAAGAACAAACUGAAGCAAUGGAGCUAAACCUGAU
This is a long non-coding RNA of Amphiprion ocellaris (clown anemonefish), 526 nucleotides long. The record is from Ensembl. NCBI's taxonomy places the organism in Eukaryota, Metazoa, Chordata, Actinopteri, Pomacentridae.